Molecule: ribosomal RNA, 1322 nt
Filed under: Osmylus lucalatus
Lineage: Eukaryota; Metazoa; Arthropoda; Insecta; Neuroptera; Osmylidae
Description: 16S ribosomal RNA
Rfam family: Archaeal large subunit ribosomal RNA (bases 1069-1228)
Source: RNAcentral
UUAAAAAUUAAUUACUAAAAUUUUGUUUGAUAAAAUUUUAUUUAAUAAAAAUAAUUUUAUAAUAAAAGGUUUUUGUAUUUUUUAAAAAUAUAAUAUGUAUUGUAAUAGUUUAAUAGUAUAGUAAUAGAAUAUUGAAAUAAAUUAUAUUAAAUUAAAAGUAAAUUUAAUUUAUUGUACCUUUUGUAUCAGGGUUUAUUAAAAAAAAAUUUUUUUUAAAAAAUUAUCUCGAAUUUAAGAGAGUUAAAAAAUUAUGAAAGUUAAUGUUUAAUAAUUAUUUUAAAUAAUUUUUUAGAAAUGAAACGUUAAUCGUUCUUAAUAUAUCUAGUUUUUAAAGAAAUGAAUUUAAUUCAUAUAUUAUUAUAAUAAUAAUUUAAUUAAAAAAAUUAUUAUAAAAUAAUAUAAAUAUUUUAAGGGAUUAGCUUUAAAAUAAUAGUUAUAAAUUUAAUAUAAAAUAUUAAUAAUGUAAGAAUAGAAAUUUCUAUCAAAAAGUAAAGUGUUAUAAUUAAUUUAUGUAAAAAAUAAAAUUUAUUAAAAUUUUAAUUUAUUUAUUUAAAUAAUAUUAAAAAUUUUUUUAAUAUGAAAUAAUGAUAAAAUUAGUAUUAUAAAUAGUAUAAAUAAAAAAUUUAUUAAGAUUAUAAUAAGGAAUUCAGCAAAUUAAUACUCACCUGUUUAUCAAAAACAUGUCUUUUUGAAAAUAAUUUAAAGUCUAACCUGCCCACUGAUUUAUUAAAGGGCCGCGGUAUAUUGACUGUGCAAAGGUAGCAUAAUCAUUUGUCUUUUAAUUGAAGGCUAGAAUGAAUGGUUGAAUGAAGUAUUGACUGUCUCAUUAUAAAAAGUAUAAAAAUUUAAUUUUUUAGUCAAAAAGCUAAAAUUUAAUUAGAGGACGAGAAGACCCUAUAGAUCUUUAUAUUAUAAUUUAAAAUAAGUUUAUUGAAAAAAAAAUAUUAUUUUUGAUUAUAAUAUUUUGUUGGGGUGACAGGAAAAUUUAAUAAACUAUUUUUAUUUAAAACCAAUAAUAAUUGAAUAAUUGAUCCAAUAAUAUUGAUUAAAAGUUUAAGUUACCUUAGGGAUAACAGCGUAAUUUUUUUGGCGAGUUCAUAUUAAUAAAAAAGAUUGCGACCUCGAUGUUGAAUUAAAGGUUAUUUCUAAAUGCAGAAGUUUAGAGUUUAGGUCUGUUCGACCUUUGAAUCUUUACAUGAUUUGAGUUCAGACCGGCGUGAGCCAGGUCGGUUUCUAUCCUUAAUAUAAAAAAAAUAUUUUAGUACGAAAGGACCAAAUAUUAAAAAUAAUUUUUAGAUAUUGAAUAAUAUUAAUAUAUAAAU